UAACAUUUUUGUUUUCCUUUUGAUUGUAUUUUAAUAUUUUGUAUUCUUUCUUUUAUGCUAUUUGCCAUUGUGGACUUCUUGAUCUCCAGCAUCUGGCUAAAACUGGCACCUCCAACGAUGAUGAAUAGAGGAACACGGACACUUUUAAUAUAUCAUAACUUUUGUCUUGUAGACUUUCUUCUUAUUUUACAACAGUAAUUUAUUAAAGAGGUCAAAUUGUUUUAUAAAAAUGCUCCUUUUGUAGGCUUUCUGUUUAAUAAACAAGUGGUGUAAAAUGAUAUCUUCACAUUUUGCUGAUACCCCAGUUCCCAGGGAAUUUUGACUGUAAAUAUUAAAGGACAUUAUGAUCA
Long non-coding RNA from Pelobates fuscus (common spadefoot toad), 350 nucleotides. RefSeq lists it as uncharacterized. The transcript has 2 exons. NCBI's taxonomy places the organism in Eukaryota, Metazoa, Chordata, Amphibia, Anura, Pelobatidae. The record is from RefSeq and is a predicted model, not a curated record.